AGUGAACGAGGGAGGGAGGAGGAACACAUGCAAGUCGAACGGCAGCACAGUAAGAGCUUGCUCUUACGGGUGGCGAGUGGCGGACGGGUGAGGAAUACAUCGGAAUCUACUUUUUCGUGGGGGUUAACGUAGGGAAACUUACGCUAAUACCGCAUACGACCUACGGGUGAAAGCAGGGGAUCUUCGGACCUUGCGCGAUUGAAUGAGCCGAUGUCGGAUUAGCUAGUUGGCGGGGUAAAGGCCCAGCAAGUCGUCGAUCCGCAGCUGGUCUGAGAGGAUGGUCGCCCACACGGGAGGUGGGACACGGUCCAUGCGCCUGCGGUAGGCAGCAGUGGGGUAUAGUAGACAGUGGGGGCAAGCCUGAUCCAGCCGUACCGCGUGGGUGAAGAAGGCCGUCGGGUUGUGAUGCCCGUUUGUUGGGAAAGAAAAGCAGCAGGUUAAGACCCCGCGGGUCUGACGGUACCCAAAGAAUAAGCACCGGCUAACUUCGUG
This 492-nucleotide ribosomal RNA is filed under the name uncultured bacterium. Its description in RNAcentral is "partial 16S ribosomal RNA". It matches the Rfam family "Bacterial small subunit ribosomal RNA", at positions 30 to 507 of the family's 1533-position model. The record is from RNAcentral.